GUACUGCGAGUGAAGCGGGAAAAGCUCAAAUUUAAAAUCUGGUGGUCUUUGGCCAUCCGAGUUGUAAUUUAGAGAAGCGUCUUCCGCGCUGGACCGUGCAUAAGUCUCCUGGAAUGGAGCGUCAUAGAGGGUGAGAAUCCCGUCUUUGGCACGGAUGCCCAGGGCUUCUGCGAUGCGCUCUCGAAGAGUCGAGUUGUUUGGGAAUGCAGCUCAAAAUGGGUGGUGAACUCCAUCUAAAGCUAAAUAUUGGCGAGAGACCGAUAGCGAACAAGUACCGUGAGGGAAAGAUGAAAAGCACUUUGGAAAGAGAGUGAAACAGUACGUGAAAUUGUUGAAAGGGAAACGCUUAAAGUCAGUCGCGUCAACCAAGACUCAGCCUUGCCUCGGCUUGGUGUACUUCUUGGCUGACGGGUCAGCAUCAAUUUUGACUCUCAGAUAAUGGCAAGGGAAAUGUGGCACCUUUUUAGGUGUGUUAUAGUCCUCUGUCGGAUGUGAGGGUUGGGAUUGAGGAACUCAGCAUGCGCCUUUGGUGUCGGGGCCUUGGCCCACGUUACGUGCUUAGGAUGCUGGCAUAAUGGCUUUAAACGACCCGUCUUGAAACACGGACCAAGGAGUCUAACAUACCCGCGAGUGUUCGGGUGGAAAACCCGUGCGCGUAAUGAAAGUAAAAGUUGGGACCUCUGUCGUGGAGGGCACCGACGCCCGGACUAGACCUUCUGUGACAGCUCUGCGGUAGAGCGUGUAUGUUGGGACCCGAAAGAUGGUGAACUAUGCCUGAAUAGGGUGAAGCCAGAGGAAACUCUGGUGGARGCUC
This 814-nucleotide ribosomal RNA is filed under the name Russula sp. RNAcentral's name for it is "partial large subunit ribosomal RNA". It matches the Rfam family "Eukaryotic large subunit ribosomal RNA", at positions 83 to 876 of the family's 3401-position model. RNAcentral also lists the same sequence under 1 other name. Lineage: Eukaryota; Fungi; Basidiomycota; Agaricomycetes; Russulales; Russulaceae. The record is from RNAcentral.